GUGAAAAUGUUGAAAAGAAAAAACUGAAUUAUGUGGCAUGAUUUUCACAUUAACCGCAACAAAUCCUACUCCAAUAGGUCCUACUGAAUGU
Molecule: small nucleolar RNA, 91 nt
Filed under: Drosophila yakuba
Lineage: Eukaryota; Metazoa; Arthropoda; Insecta; Diptera; Drosophilidae
Description: snoRNA:GE27092
Source: RNAcentral